CCAUAUCUAGAACACCCUAUAUAUGACUAAGUCAUGAAUGAGUAUGAAUCAAAAUAUAGAUUCAUAUAUACAAGAUUCUAUGAUAGUCUCAGGUCAAAAGAUUACUUGCACAACUCCCAUUAAGAGAAAUAUCUUUUAACAAGUAAGACUUCAUAAGAUAUUCUCAAGAUGGAUCAAUUCAGUGAACUCAUUCACUAAUGAGCACCCACAUCCUUGUAUUAGUAUCACACAUAAGUAAUUAUGAGAUCAAUCAUCCUCUCCAUGGAGUAUACAUAGGAUGUGCCA
This 285-nucleotide long non-coding RNA is filed under the name Elaeis guineensis (African oil palm). Its description in RNAcentral is "long non-coding RNA (EGUI_LNC069308)". Lineage: Eukaryota; Viridiplantae; Streptophyta; Magnoliopsida; Arecales; Arecaceae. The record is from RNAcentral.